GUUGUCUUGACCAACGAGUCUCGCUCUACGACACCAACCAUGGCGCCCAUUGCGAUCGACAGCACAAACAAGCCGCAAUCCAAUCUGCUAUCAAAGCAUAUCUGCCCGUAAAGCUCAUCUUCAAGAGACGACUGACUAAGGAUUACCCCCUUCCGCCUCAUCGCACACUCAGAAAAUACCAGAUGGCUGGUAUCGACCUUUCUAUCCCUACUUUCCUCCUAAACCAUCCAUGUUCAAGCAGUAAACCAGAUUCAGACUAACCUUCCGAAGUAUGCGCAGAUAGAUUUUUGGAAAAGCCUUCAUAUUCGUUUACCGGUUAACAGCAUGACUGAUUUUUGAUUUCCCGAAAAUACUCGAUCUCUCAACAACACAUUAGAUUACCAAAACACAUUGGAUAACUAGACCUGGGAUGACUUCUCCUUCU
RNAcentral lists this small RNA (424 nucleotides) under Cryptococcus neoformans H99. RNAcentral's name for it is "Cryptococcus neoformans var. grubii H99 hypothetical RNA". Lineage: Eukaryota; Fungi; Basidiomycota; Tremellomycetes; Tremellales; Cryptococcaceae. The record is from RNAcentral.